RNAcentral lists this ribosomal RNA (253 nucleotides) under uncultured bacterium. Its description in RNAcentral is "partial 16S ribosomal RNA". It matches the Rfam family "Bacterial small subunit ribosomal RNA", at positions 524 to 776 of the family's 1533-position model. The record is from RNAcentral.
UACAGAGGGGGCAAGCGUUGUUCGGAAUUACUGGGCGUAAAGGGCGCGUAGGCGGCCUGCUAAGUCGAACGUGAAAUCCCCGGGCUUAACCCGGGAACUGCGUCCGAUACUGGCAGGCUUGAAUCCGGGAGAGGGAUGCGGAAUUCCAGGUGUAGCGGUGAAAUGCGUAGAUAUCUGGAGGAACACCGGUGGCGAAGGCGGCAUCCUGGACCGGCAUUGACGCUGAGGCGCGAAAGCUAGGGGAGCAAACGGG